This 214-nucleotide ribosomal RNA is filed under the name Bacillus thuringiensis serovar kurstaki str. HD-1. RNAcentral describes it as "partial small subunit ribosomal RNA". It matches the Rfam family "Bacterial small subunit ribosomal RNA", at positions 11 to 219 of the family's 1533-position model. The record is from RNAcentral. Lineage: Bacteria; Bacillati; Bacillota; Bacilli; Caryophanales; Bacillaceae.
GUUUGAUCCUGGCUCAGGAUGAACGCUGGCGGCGUGCCUAAUACAUGCAAGUCGAGCGAAUGGAUUAAGAGCUUGCUCUUAUGAAGUUAGCGGCGGACGGGUGAGUAACACGUGGGUAACCUGCCCAUAAGACUGGGAUAACUCCGGGAAACCGGGGCUAAUACCGGAUAACAUUUUGAACUGCAUGGUUCGAAAUUGAAAGGCGGCUUCGGCU